GCAAGCACCACAGAUGGGAAGUGCCGUGGGCCGACAAAAAGAAGGGGGAGUGAGAAGGAGGAGGGUUCGGACCGGCCCACCAAUCAGAAAGAGUCUCGGCGCCGCGCGCCACAGGCCCCGCCCCUUGGCGUCGCUGUGGAAACCGAGGGAAGCGACGGUUACUGCAAAGCGAGGGGCGGGAACAAGAAGUUGAGUGACAGGGAGGGCAGCAUCCACAUGGCGGCUGGCGCUACGGGGUGAAUCCCCCGGUGGGCGAUCCCGGGGGUACCCCAGAAGAGCCAACCCCACCCCAGCCCUGAGCCUGCAGUGGCUGUUGAGCCAUGCCGAUCUCACAGGCAGAUCUCAAAGGUGUGUCACUGGCACCCAUGAAGCCAAGUGCUUACCUAGGUGUUCAGGAAGCCAAGAACGCGUUCUCCCAGGAGACCUUCAGCAAGGGGCAUGCCCUCUCGGGACCUCAGUUUCCCCUCCUGUUGGGAGGCUUCAGUGAGUGCCUGAAACACACACCGAGU
Sorex araneus (European shrew) is the source of this 509-nucleotide long non-coding RNA. RefSeq lists it as uncharacterized. The record is from RefSeq and is a predicted model, not a curated record. The transcript is spliced from 3 exons. NCBI's taxonomy places the organism in Eukaryota, Metazoa, Chordata, Mammalia, Eulipotyphla, Soricidae.